GUCAGGCAAGGUAGCAUUAGCCUGUGGUCCCAGCUACUUGGGAGACCGAGGCAGGAGAACCGCUUGAGGUGAGGAGCUUGAGGUCAGUCUGGCCAACAGGGUGAGAUGCUGCCUCAA
This 117-nucleotide small RNA is filed under the name Marmota monax (woodchuck). Lineage: Eukaryota; Metazoa; Chordata; Mammalia; Rodentia; Sciuridae. The record is from RNAcentral.